This 75-nucleotide transfer RNA is filed under the name Candidatus Carsonella ruddii HT isolate Thao2000. RNAcentral describes it as "tRNA-Asp (GTC) (tRNA-Asp-GTC-1-1)". It matches the Rfam family "tRNA". Rfam says of the family: Transfer RNA (tRNA) molecules are approximately 80 nucleotides in length. Lineage: Bacteria; Pseudomonadati; Pseudomonadota; Gammaproteobacteria; Oceanospirillales; Halomonadaceae. The record is from RNAcentral.
GGAUUGAUAGUUUAGUUUGGUUAAAAUGUUGGCUUGUCACGUCGAAGACCACGGGUUCAAAUCCCGUUCAAUCCG